UUAAUAUUUAUGAAAGAGUACUAGUUCUACCGACAGAUUAUUUAACUCAUAAGACAUUUUCUCCCAUGUUAUAAGUGAAAUAGUCUGCCAGUGGACCUAGUAAUUUUCAUCAAAUUGCUGACUGUAAGCAAGCUCCAAUAUCUUGCUGAAAAGUUUCUC
This is a long non-coding RNA of Xiphophorus hellerii (green swordtail), 159 nucleotides long. RefSeq lists it as uncharacterized. The record is from RefSeq and is a predicted model, not a curated record. Lineage: Eukaryota; Metazoa; Chordata; Actinopteri; Cyprinodontiformes; Poeciliidae. The transcript has 3 exons.